RNAcentral lists this ribosomal RNA (253 nucleotides) under uncultured bacterium. RNAcentral describes it as "partial 16S ribosomal RNA". It matches the Rfam family "Bacterial small subunit ribosomal RNA", at positions 524 to 776 of the family's 1533-position model. The record is from RNAcentral.
UACAGAGGGUGCAAGCGUUAAUCGGAAUUACUGGGCGUAAAGGGCGCGUAGGUGGUUAUUUAAGUCAGAUGUGAAAUCCCUGGGCUUAACCUAGGAAUUGCAUUUGAAACUAGAUGGCUAGAGUAUGGUAGAGGGAAGUGGAAUUUCCGGUGUAGCGGUGAAAUGCGUAGAUAUCAGGAGGAACACCUGCGGUGUAGACGGCUUUCUGGACCAUUGUUGACGCUGAGACACGAAAGCGUGGGUAGCAAACAGG